Long non-coding RNA from Empidonax traillii (willow flycatcher), 459 nucleotides. RefSeq lists it as uncharacterized. NCBI's taxonomy places the organism in Eukaryota, Metazoa, Chordata, Aves, Passeriformes, Tyrannidae. The transcript has 2 exons. The record is from RefSeq and is a predicted model, not a curated record.
UCCUGGGGCUUUCUGUACCAGAAUGACUAGUGUGCCUGGAAGAUUAAUGGCAGAGGAGAAAAUGUGAGGGAAGGACAGGUAAGAAAAAGCUCUACCCCCCGGGGAAAAAAAGGGAUUUUACUGCAAGAAGAAAGUAUAUUCUGGUAUUGGUUGGUUGAUAAUGAGAAUGCAGAGCAUCAAAGCUGAAACAGUGUGUGCUGGGUUUUAAAAUCACUGGAGGAUAUAGAAGUGCCUUAAAGAGGAAGAUUAUAGAUAGGCAGACCUACUGGAUACGCCUGGUCCAUUUUUUGUAGGCUGCAGAACUUUCCCCAGUGGUUUGCAGGGUUCCCUUGACUUGCUGCAUCCCUGAACAGCACAGAGCGCAGCAUUGGUGCCUGCAGUAUUGGAGGAUGUAGAUGAAAGCCUUACUAGGAAGAUCCAGGCUUCAGUUCUAGUUUUGUUGAUGCUAAAAUUCCCCUG